UCAGCCCUGCCUCGUUCGCUGACAGGCGACAUGUCUCUGACCCAUUAGUGAACUGUUGAAGGGAGUUCGAAUACGCCCCGGCCCGGACGCCCUCGCGGGCAACCGCCUGAGGGAACUGGAAACGGGCGGAUAGAGCACCCACCUCGUUUCGGCGAGGUACAGAGACAGAAUGCCUAUACGGCGAGGCGGGGCCUUU
This 196-nucleotide non-coding RNA is filed under the name Lentisphaerota bacterium. RNAcentral describes it as "Lentisphaerae bacterium (hot springs metagenome) 6S RNA". It matches the Rfam family "6S / SsrS RNA". Rfam says of the family: E. coli 6S RNA was the first non coding RNA to be sequenced, but its function was unknown until recently. The record is from RNAcentral. Lineage: Bacteria; Pseudomonadati; Lentisphaerota.